GCGGAUAUGGUGAAAGUGGUAGACACGCCGCCCUUAGAAGGCGGUGCCUUAAAAGCGUAGAGGUUCAAGUCCUCUUAUCCGCACCA
RNAcentral lists this transfer RNA (86 nucleotides) under Caudoviricetes sp. RNAcentral's name for it is "tRNA-Leu". It matches the Rfam family "tRNA". Rfam says of the family: Transfer RNA (tRNA) molecules are approximately 80 nucleotides in length. Lineage: Duplodnaviria; Heunggongvirae; Uroviricota; Caudoviricetes. The record is from RNAcentral.